GCAGCCAUUAUCUUUACUGUAGAUAACGAUGCCGGGAAGAUUAGGUGUUUGUGUCAGGUGCCUCAGGAAGCGGCAGAUAAGGGUCUAAAGGCCAGCGAAUGGGUGCAGCAGGUAUGUGAAUUGA
Spea bombifrons (plains spadefoot toad) is the source of this 124-nucleotide long non-coding RNA. RefSeq lists it as uncharacterized. Lineage: Eukaryota; Metazoa; Chordata; Amphibia; Anura; Pelobatidae. The record is from RefSeq and is a predicted model, not a curated record. The transcript has 2 exons.